RNAcentral lists this long non-coding RNA (351 nucleotides) under Lathyrus oleraceus (garden pea). RNAcentral's name for it is "Pisum sativum (pea) long non-coding RNA (PSAT_LNC040660)". The record is from RNAcentral. Lineage: Eukaryota; Viridiplantae; Streptophyta; Magnoliopsida; Fabales; Fabaceae.
AUUUAUGUUAAUAAAUCCUAUUAAUGAGAAUUCAAUGAUGUUUGUUAUCCGUAAGCACAGACAUUUCUCUUAGAUUUAUCUUAUAUUUUAUACACAAACAAAUAUGGUAACAUUGUCCAAUUUUUAAAUAAACUUCAAAUGACUACAUUAUAUUUAUUUUCUAUGCCUUCAAAUAUAAUCUAUAUUAUAGAAAAAUUAAUCUAGCAACCUCAUCUUAUAAACAGUCUAAAAAAUAAUAGAUAGUUUGCAUAAAAACAAAAAUAAACUAACGGUAGAUUGUGAUGUGAACUCACCGAUAAUUGUGGAGAUCGAGUGGACCACCAUCAAAACUAAUAAAAUAAACAAUUUAUU